AGUGGCGAACGGGUGAGUAAUACAUAAGGAACCUGCCCUCGGGACCGGGAUAGCUGAUGGAAACGUCAGGUAAUAGCGGAUGUGAGUCAUUAUGGCAUCAUGAUGACUUGAAAGGAUGCAGCAAUGCAUCGCGCGGGGAUGGCCUUAUGGCGCAUUAGCCAGUUGGCGGGGUAACGGCCCACCAAAGCGAUGAUGCGUAGCCGAUCUGAGAGGACGACCGGCCACAUUGGGACUGAGACACGGCCCAGACUCCUACGGGAGGCAGCAGUAGGGAAUUUUCGGCAAUGGGCGCAAGCCUGACCGAGCAACGCCGCGUGAGUGUUAAGGCCUUCGGGUUGUAAAGCUCUGUUGCCGGGGACGAACGGUACUUAUAGGAAAUGAUAAGUAAGUGACGGUACCCGGCGAGAAAGCCACGGCUAACUACGUGCCAGCAGCCGCGGUAAUACGUAGGUGGCGAGCGUUAUCCGGAUUUAUUGGGCGUAAAGGGUGCGUAGGCGGCGAAUUAAGUCUAAAUUGAAAGCGUGGGGCUCAACUCCAUGAUGGUUUAGAAACUGGUUUGCUGGAGUGCAGGAGAGGUUAGCGGAAUUCCAUGUGUAGCGGUAAAAUGCGUAGAUAUAUGGAGGAACACCAGUGGCGAAGGCGGCUAACUGGCCUGUAACUGACGCUGAGGCACGAAAGCGUGGGGAGCGAAUAGGAUUAGAUACCCUAGUAGUCCACGCA
Molecule: ribosomal RNA, 720 nt
Filed under: uncultured bacterium
Lineage: Bacteria
Description: bacterial SSU rRNA
Rfam family: Bacterial small subunit ribosomal RNA
Source: RNAcentral